GAGUAACGCGUGGGUAACUUACCCUCGAGCGGGGAAUAACUCCGGGAAACCGGAGAUAAUACCGCAUAACAAGCCUUGUUCGAGAGGACGGGGCUUCAAAGACUUCGGUCGCUCGAGGAGAGGCCCGCGUCCGAUUAGCUAGUUGGUGAGGUAAGAGCUCACCAAGGCGACGAUCGGUAGCCGGUCUGAGAGGACGGACGGCCACACUGGGACUGAGACACGGCCCAGACUCCUACGGGAGGCAGCAGUGGGGAAUCUUGGGCAAUGGGCGCAAGCCUGACCCAGCAACGCCGCGUGGAGGAUGAAGUCUUUCGGGACGUAAACUCCUGUCAGAGGGGACGAAGGCCCGCAAGGGUUUGACGGUACCCUCGGAGGAAGCCACGGCUAACUCCGUGCCAGCAGCCGCGGUAAUACGGGGGUGGCAAGCGUUGUUCGGAAUUACUGGGCGUAAAGGGCGCGUAGGCGGCCGAGUAGGUCGCAUGUGAAAGCCUUGGGCUUAACCUGAGAAGGGCAUGCGAAACCGCUCGGCUUGAGUGUCGGAGGGGAAGGCGGAAUUCCGGGUGUAGCGGUGAAAUGC
Molecule: ribosomal RNA, 577 nt
Filed under: uncultured bacterium
Lineage: Bacteria
Description: bacterial SSU rRNA
Rfam family: Bacterial small subunit ribosomal RNA
Source: RNAcentral